Molecule: unclassified non-coding RNA, 1809 nt
Filed under: Amphibalanus amphitrite
Lineage: Eukaryota; Metazoa; Arthropoda; Thecostraca; Balanomorpha; Balanidae
Description: transcription factor Adf-1-like, transcript variant X4
Source: RNAcentral
AUUUACGCGCUGAAUUUAACAUUGGAGUCUAUGGGUUGCGCGCCGAAUGCAGUUUCAGCGCCUAAAGCACGAUGAAGCGUUGUCAGCUGAUUAUUCAUCGGCUGGUCGGCGCUGAAUUACUCGCGUAUUCGACGCUCACGAGUUGAAAUAUUCCAACUUUUCAGCGCGUCCUUGACGCGCAUACGCCGCGGCGUUUUUAUCAUCAAUCGGGUGUUUUGUUGAUAUUUAAAACAUUUGAAAAGCAUUUUUGAGAUGAGGUUAGUGUUGCUAAUAUUUUGAGUGUGGCAGUGUGUGUGUUCUGUGUUUCAUCAUCUUCCUACAUCUCCAGAAUAGCAUUAAAUGAGCUGGUAAGCUCUACAAGUGACACCACCUUAGUUGAAGCCGUGAGACGUCAUGACGUGCUCUGGCGUCCUCAGGACAGCAACUACUUUAACAGAAAUAAGAAGAAGCUAGCAUGGGAGGAGGUGGCAAAGACCACUGGGAGAUCAGUUCAGGAUGCAAAAUCGAAAUGGAAAAGUCUGCGUGACUACCACCUACGCAAACGCAGGCAAUUGCCAAGUGGCUCUGGCUGCCCGCCACCAGAGAACUCCUCCUGGCAAAAGGAAAUGUCAUUUUUGGAUGAUGCCAUCAAGCCUAAACCCUUUGUGUGUCUGAUGAGGACAGCAGCGAGACUCAACUACCAGACGACAGUGCUGCAGCGAGCUGUGCCUCAGGAGUCCUCCCAGUUGCGACGCUCCUCGGAGGGCCUCGGAUGUCCGCGGUGCCACCAGCAGCGAGCUGUGCAGUCAGUUCAGGAGUCCUCCCAGCUGCGACGCUCCUCGGAACGCCUCGGGUGUCCGCGGUGCCACCAGCAGCGAGCUGUGUCGCCGGCCCGAGCCAUCCGCGCUCUUCUGGCACCAACGGCCAAGUCAAGCAGGUCAGGGGGCCGGGUGCUCGUGGCGCCGAGAAGCUUGACGCCGCCAUAGCGUCCAUAGAACGCGCGGUGAGCGACCUCCGUAACCCGGACCUACUAUUUGGUCAGCUGGUGGGGUUGGAGAUGGAGCGUGUGAGGGACGACAAGAAAGCGGAUGCGAGACUGGAGAUUCUUACAGUCUUGAAAAGGGCGCAGUCCGAUUAAAAGCAGGUGAUAACCUUCGCACGGGUGGGGGAGGGGGGACGUUUUUCACACAUAUUUGAUAAAAAAUGACCAGAAUGAUUCAAAACGAUCUUAUAGCCAGACAUGUGCAUGGAUCCGAGAGGUGGAUCUAUGAUCUGAGCGGAUCUCUCGAGCUUAUGGGUAAGAUCUAUGAUCUGAGUGGAUCUCUCGACACAGUUGAGGGGUUGGAUCUAUGAUCUGAGUGGAUCUCUCGACAAAGUUGAGGGGUUGGAUCUAUGAUCCGGGUGGAUCCCAGAUCUAGAUUCAUGGGAUCGAAUUUCAGAUCCAUUUUCCCGGAUCCAUGCACAUGUCUGCUUAUAGCGAGCUAUAUAAUGCCUGUUCGGCGUCUUUCCAGCUUCCUUUGAUUCUGAGAUAAUGUGAUGCGGCCAAAUGCGUCCCCUCUCCAUGCAACCUCCACCAUGGCGAACUUUGCUGAGCCUGAGUCAUAUUCUGCGUAGUGUGUAUUUCCGCAGUCUGAUCGCUAUAGCGACCCUUUUUCAAGUUUUGAUUUAGGAGUGAAUUCGUUUACCUGGUGUUUAAAUGUUUGAGCUCCUUUGCUGUGAAGUUGAAGUUGGACGUUACGUGGUUAUCUGACUUUGGUUGUUGGAAAGGGCGACAGUUAAUGUUAUUUAUUUCCACUACUUUCGCGUGCAAUAAACGACAAAGGCCGGAAA